RNAcentral lists this ribosomal RNA (443 nucleotides) under Colletotrichum gloeosporioides. Its description in RNAcentral is "eukaryotic LSU rRNA". The stretch from base 139 to 292 matches the Rfam family "5.8S ribosomal RNA". Lineage: Eukaryota; Fungi; Ascomycota; Sordariomycetes; Glomerellales; Glomerellaceae. The record is from RNAcentral.
CCUAUAACUGUUGCUUCGGCGGGCAGGGUCUCCGUGACCCUCCCGGCCUCCCGCCCCCGGGCGGGUCGGCGCCCGCCGGAGGAUAACCACACUCUGAUUUAACGACGUUUCUUCUGAGUGGUACAAGCAAAUAAUCAAAACUUUUAACAACGGAUCUCUUGGUUCUGGCAUCGAUGAAGAACGCAGCGAAAUGCGAUAAGUAAUGUGAAUUGCAGAAUUCAGUGAAUCAUCGAAUCUUUGAACGCACAUUGCGCCCGCCAGCAUUCUGGCGGGCAUGCCUGUUCGAGCGUCAUUUCAACCCUCAAGCUCUGCUUGGUGUUGGGGCCCUACGGCUGACGUAGGCCCUCAAAGGUAGUGGCGGACCCUCCCGGAGCCUCCUUUGCGUAGUAACUUUACGUCUCGCACUGGGAUCCGGAGGGACUCUUGCCGUAAACCCCCAAUUU